UACGUAGGUGGCAAGCGUUGUCCGGAAUUAUUGGGCGUAAAGGGCGCGUAGGCGGUGCGGUAAGUCACCUGUGAAAUCUCCUGGCUCAACUGGGAGCUUGCAGGCGAAACUGCCGUGCUGGAGUGUGGGAGAGGUGAGUGGAAUUCCCGGUGUAGCGGUGAAUGCGUAGAUAUGCGGAGGAACACCGAUGGCGAAGGCAAUCCUGGACCUGUACUGACGCUCAUGCACGAAAGCGUGGGAGCAAACAGG
RNAcentral lists this ribosomal RNA (249 nucleotides) under uncultured bacterium. RNAcentral's name for it is "partial 16S ribosomal RNA". It matches the Rfam family "Bacterial small subunit ribosomal RNA", at positions 524 to 776 of the family's 1533-position model. The record is from RNAcentral.